CACGUGGGAACGUGCCUUUAGGUUCGGAAUAGCUCCUGGAAACGGGUGGUAAUGCCGAAUGUGCCCUUCGGGGGAAAGAUUUAUCGCCUUUAGAGCGGCCCGCGUCUGAUUAGCUAGUUGGUGAGGUAAUGGCUCACCAAGGCGACGAUCAGUAGCUGGUCUGAGAGGAUGACCAGCCACAUUGGGACUGAGACACGGCCCAAACUCCUACGGGAGGCAGCAGUGGGGAAUCUUGCGCAAUGGGCGAAAGCCUGACGCAGCCAUGCCGCGUGAAUGAUGAAGGUCUUAGGAUUGUAAAAU
This 300-nucleotide ribosomal RNA is filed under the name uncultured Caulobacteraceae bacterium. Its description in RNAcentral is "bacterial SSU rRNA". It matches the Rfam family "Bacterial small subunit ribosomal RNA", at positions 114 to 431 of the family's 1533-position model. Lineage: Bacteria; Pseudomonadati; Pseudomonadota; Alphaproteobacteria; Caulobacterales; Caulobacteraceae. The record is from RNAcentral.